GGGGCACCGUCAAGGGACAGGACCCUCCCCCGCUCUGCCCGGCCUGAGGGAGGGGCUGACUCCCCCCCUCACACUCACACCCUGGGGGAACCAGGGUGCCCCCGCCCGCUUGCAUCGCUCCGCCUAGGCCCCCUUGGUCCCAUCCAAGGAGCCCCAGGGAGGGGACGGGCCUGCUCCACCUUCCUCACCAGCUCCAAACCGGGACCAUUUAGCGGACCAAGCCUGGUAGAAAGGGGCAAGGUGGUUCCUGAAGGUGGUGACAGAGUCUGGACUGGCUCCACUGUAACUCCCAACACUUGAGUCAAACAUUCUGCAUCUGGAAGAGGAGAAUGAUGGGAGUCUCCUGAAGAACCAAAGUCUUUUUCUUGAUUUACCAGGUUGGUGCUAUGCCCCAGCCUUCAGUCUCCUGGGAGUAAUCCCUUUACUGUGCCAGAUCACCAGGGUCCAUCCAUACAGCCUCAAUGACUCUGUGAUUCGGCUUUUGGGCUCCAGCACCCCCAGAGAGCUCCUACAGCAAAUCCACCUUCUGAGGGAGCAGUGCAACUGAGUAAGUAUUGCAGUGACAGAGAGCAGCCUUUUUGAAGCGAAGUAGCAUUGAUUAAUCAGUUGGAAUACAGCAUCCGAGAGUCAUCAGAUUAGCAUUAGGUUAGGGAAAAGCCAGGUUUAAGACAGCAUCCACAUUGGCUGAAGCAAUGGCUAUGCCAAGCCAUGAUUCUCUGAGGUCCAUCUUCACUCCC
This is a non-coding RNA of Chrysemys picta bellii (western painted turtle), 737 nucleotides long. The record is from RefSeq and is a predicted model, not a curated record. NCBI's taxonomy places the organism in Eukaryota, Metazoa, Chordata, Testudines, Emydidae.